This 520-nucleotide ribosomal RNA is filed under the name uncultured bacterium. RNAcentral's name for it is "partial 16S ribosomal RNA". It matches the Rfam family "Bacterial small subunit ribosomal RNA", at positions 355 to 866 of the family's 1533-position model. The record is from RNAcentral.
UGGGGAAUUUUGGACAAUGGGGGCAACCCUGAUCCAGCAAUGCCGCGUGAGUGAAGAAGGCCUUCGGGUUGUAAAGCUCUUUUGUCCGGGAAGAAAUCCUCUUGGUUAAUACCUGGGAGGGGAUGACGGUACUGGAAGAAUAAGCACCGGCUAACUACGUGCCAGCAGCCGCGGUAAUACGUAGGGUGCAAGCGUUAAUCGGAAUUACUGGGCGUAAAGCGUGCGCAGGCGGUUGUGCAAGACCGAUGUGAAAUCCCCGGGCUUAACCUGGGAACUGCAUUUGGUGACUGCACGGCUAGAGUGUGUCAGAGGGGGGUAGAAUUCCACGUGUAGCAGUGAAAUGCGUAGAGAUGUGGAGGAAUACCGAUGGCGAAGGCAGCCCCCUGGGAUAACACUGGCGCUCAUGCACGAAAGCGUGGGGAGCAAACAGGAUUAGAUACCCUGGUAGUCCACGCCCUAAACGAUGUCAACUAGUUGUCGGGUCUUAAUUGACUUGGUAACGCAGCUAACGCGUGAAGUU